This 66-nucleotide transfer RNA is filed under the name Philaenus spumarius (meadow spittlebug). Its description in RNAcentral is "tRNA-Pro". The record is from RNAcentral. Lineage: Eukaryota; Metazoa; Arthropoda; Insecta; Hemiptera; Aphrophoridae.
CAGCAAAUAGUUUAUUAUAAAAUAUAAAUUUUGGAGAUUUAAGAUAAGAGUUUUUUUUUUUGCUGA